Molecule: ribosomal RNA, 484 nt
Filed under: Luetkenotyphlus brasiliensis
Lineage: Eukaryota; Metazoa; Chordata; Amphibia; Gymnophiona; Siphonopidae
Description: partial large subunit ribosomal RNA
Rfam family: Bacterial large subunit ribosomal RNA
Source: RNAcentral
CCUGCCCACUGAUAUUCUAUUUUAACGGCCGCGGUAUUCUGACCGCGCAAAGGUAGCAUAAUCACUUGUCUUUUAAAUAAGGACUAGUAUGAACGGCAAGACGAAAGCUUAACUGUCUCCUUUACCCAGUCAAUGAAACUGAUCCCCCAGUACAAAAGCUGGAAUUCAAUAAUAAGACGAGAAGACCCUAUGGAACUUUAAGCACGCACCAACCAAUGUUCAACCACAAAAGGCUUGACACGCUGCUUUUGGUUGGGGCAACCACGGAGAAAAACCAUCCUCCAAGAAAUCAAACCAAGUGACACAAAACAAAGUUUUAUCACCUUUCCCAUCGACCCAGUACAACUGAUCAACGAACCAAGCUACCCUAGGGAUAACAGCGCUAUCUUCUUCAAGAGUCCAUAUCGCCAAGAAGGUUUACGACCUCGAUGUUGGAUCAGGGUAUCCAAACAGUGCAGCCGCUGUUAAAGGUUUGUUUGUUCAA